RNAcentral lists this ribosomal RNA (465 nucleotides) under uncultured bacterium. Its description in RNAcentral is "partial 16S ribosomal RNA". It matches the Rfam family "Bacterial small subunit ribosomal RNA", at positions 338 to 795 of the family's 1533-position model. The record is from RNAcentral.
CCUACGGGUGGCAGCAGUAGGGAAUUUUUCACAAUGGGCGAAACCCUGAUGGAGCAAUGCCGCGUGAAUGAUGAAGGUCUUAUAGAUUGUAAAAUUCUUCUAUUUGGGAAGAAAAACUAAAGUAGGAAAUGACUUUAGUCUGACUGUACCAUUUGAAUAAGUAUCGGGUAACUAUGUGCCAGCAGCCGCGGUAAUACAUAGGAUGCAAGCGUUAUCCGGAUUUACUGGGCGUAAAACGAGCGCAGGGGGGUUAAAAAGCUUGGUAUGAAAGGCUUUUGCUUAACGAAAGUUUGUAUCAAAAACUGUUAAUCUAGAGUGUAGUAGAGGGUUGUGGAAUUCCAUGUGUAGCGGUGGAAUGCGUAGAUAUAAGGAAGAACACCAGUGGCGAAGGCGAGAACCUGGGCUGUCACUGACGCUGAGGCUCGAAAGUGUGGGGAGCAAAUAGGAUUAGAUACCCGGGUAGUC